Molecule: unclassified non-coding RNA, 343 nt
Filed under: soil metagenome
Description: partial contains 5.8S ribosomal RNA, internal transcribed spacer 2, and large subunit ribosomal RNA
Rfam family: 5.8S ribosomal RNA (bases 1-120)
Source: RNAcentral
GAUGAAGAACGUAGCGAAAUGCGAUAAGUAAUGUGAAUUGCAGAAUUCAGUGAAUCAUCGAAUCUUUGAACGCACAUUGCGCCCGCCAGCAUUCUGGCGGGCAUGCCUGUUCGAGCGUCAUUUCAACCCUCGAGCCCCCCCGGGGGCCUCGGUGUUGGGGGACGGCACACCAGCCGCCCCCGAAAUGCAGUGGCGACCCCGCCGCAGCCUCCCCUGCGUGGUAGCACACACCUCGCACCGGAGCGCGGAGGCGGUCACGCCGUAAAACGCCCAACUUUCUUAGAGUUGACCUCGGAUCAGGUAGGAAUACCCGCUGAACUUAAGCAUAUCAAUAAGCGGAGGA